GACCAUUAGAAAAGUGAUGGGGGGGGGGGGCAAAAGCAAAAGUAAAAAUAGAGCAGGGCAAACAGAAAAAAAAAAUUCGGCCACCAGAAAUGUUUGAAAAAAAAAAUUCGUGCAGAGACUUCUCAAUAUGGAAAAUUAUAAGUUGACAGGGCCUAUCAGAGGUACAGUGUAAGGAAAGUAAAAGAAAAAUAAUUUUGAACUUUUUUUAUAUAAGUAAUGGUGUGAGAAAAAUUUUUCUAAACCUAAUUG
Molecule: non-coding RNA, 249 nt
Organism: Paramuricea clavata
Lineage: Eukaryota; Metazoa; Cnidaria; Anthozoa; Malacalcyonacea; Plexauridae
Source: the annotation of a GenBank genome assembly